GAUGAAGAACGCAGCGAAAUGCGAUAAGUAGUGUGAAUUGCAGAAUUCAGUGAAUCAUCGAAUCUUUGAACGCACAUUGCGGCCAUAGGUAUUCCUUUGGCCAUGCCUGUUCGAGCGUCAUUUACACCCUCAAGCCUAGCUUGGUGUUGGGCGUCUGUCCCGCCGUUUUCGCGCGCGGACUCGCCUCAAAGUCAUUGGCGGCGGUCGUGCCGGCCCCCUCGCGCAGCACAUUUGCGCUUCUCGGAGGCCCGGCGGAUCCGCGCUCCAGCAAGACCUUUCACGACUUGACCUCGGAUCAGGUAGGGAUACCCGCUGAACUUAAGCAUAACAAUAAGCGGAGGA
This 342-nucleotide unclassified non-coding RNA is filed under the name soil metagenome. RNAcentral describes it as "partial contains 5.8S ribosomal RNA, internal transcribed spacer 2, and large subunit ribosomal RNA". The stretch from base 1 to 120 matches the Rfam family "5.8S ribosomal RNA", at positions 35 to 154 of the family's 154-position model. The record is from RNAcentral.